CCUACGAGAGGCAGCAGUGAGGAAUAUUUGUCAAUGGGCGAGAGCCUGAACCAGCCAAGUCGCGUGAAGGAUGACGGCCCUACGGGUUGUAAACUUCUUUUGUCAGGGAGCAAUUGAGUCCACGUGUGGUCUUAGCGAGAGUACCUGAAGAAAAAGCAUCGGCUAACUCCGUGCCAGCAGCCGCGGUAAUACGGAGGAUGCGCUCGUUAUCCGGAUUUAUGGGGUUUAAAGGGUGCGUAGGCGGAAUAUCAAGUCAGCGGUAACAAUUCGGGGCUCAACCCCGUCGUGCCGUUGAAACUGAUGUUCUUGAGUGGGCGAGAAGUAUGCGGAAUGCGUGGUGUAGCGGUGAAAUGCAUAGAUAUCACGCAGAACUCCGAUUGCGAAGGCAGCAUACCGGCGCCCAACUGACGCUGAAGCACGAAAGCGUGGGUAUCGAACAGGAGUAGAUACCCCUGUAGUC
RNAcentral lists this ribosomal RNA (460 nucleotides) under uncultured bacterium. Its description in RNAcentral is "partial 16S ribosomal RNA". It matches the Rfam family "Bacterial small subunit ribosomal RNA", at positions 338 to 795 of the family's 1533-position model. The record is from RNAcentral.